Molecule: ribosomal RNA, 1341 nt
Filed under: uncultured bacterium
Lineage: Bacteria
Description: 16S ribosomal RNA
Rfam family: Bacterial small subunit ribosomal RNA
Source: RNAcentral
GACGAACGCUGGCGGCGUGCUUAACACAUGCAAGUCGAACGGUAAGGCUCCAGCUUGCUGGGGUACACGAGUGGCGAACGGGUGAGUAACACGUGGGUGACCUGCCCUGCACUUCGGGAUAAGCCUGGGAAACUGGGUCUAAUACCGGAUAGGACCGCACCGUGAGGGUGUGGUGGAAAGUUUUUUCGGUGUGGGAUGGGCCCGCGGCCUAUCAGCUUGUUGGUGGGGUAAUGGCCUACCAAGGCGGCGACGGGUAGCCGGCCUGAGAGGGUGGACGGCCACAUUGGGACUGAGACACGGCCCAGACUCCUACGGGAGGCAGCAGUGGGGAAUAUUGCACAAUGGGCGGAAGCCUGAUGCAGCGACGCCGCGUGGGGGAUGACGGCCUUCGGGUUGUAAACUCCUUUCACCAUCGACGAAGGGUUUCUGACGGUAGAUGGAGAAGAAGCACCGGCUAACUACGUGCCAGCAGCCGCGGUAAUACGUAGGGUGCGAGCGUUGUCCGGAAUUACUGGGCGUAAAGAGCUCGUAGGUGGUUUGUCGCGUCGUCUGUGAAGUUCCGGGGCUUAACUCCGGGCGUGCAGGCGAUACGGGCAUAACUUGAGUACUGUAGGGGAGACUGGAAUUCCUGGUGUAGCGGUGAAAUGCGCAGAUAUCAGGAGGAACACCGGUGGCGAAGGCGGGUCUCUGGGCAGUAACUGACGCUGAGGAGCGAAAGCAUGGGGAGCGAACAGGAUUAGAUACCCUGGUAGUCCAUGCCGUAAACGGUGGGCGCUAGGUGUGGGUUUCCUUCCACGGGAUCCGUGCCGUAGCUAACGCAUUAAGCGCCCCGCCUGGGGAGUACGGCCGCAAGGCUAAAACUCAAAGGAAUUGACGGGGGCCCGCACAAGCGGCGGAGCAUGUGGAUUAAUUCGAUGCAACGCGAAGAACCUUACCUGGGCUUGACAUAUACAGGAUCGCGCCAGAGAUGGUGUUUCCCUUGUGGCUUGUAUACAGGCGGUGCAUGGUUGUCGUCAGCUCGUGUCGUGAGAUGUUGGGUUAAGUCCCGCAACGAGCGCAACCCUUGUCUUAUGUUGCCAGCACGUUGUGGUGGGGACUCGUAAGAAACUGCCGGGGUUAACUCGGAGGAAGGUGGGGAUGACGUCAAAUCAUCAUGCCCCUUAUGUCCAGGGCUUCACACAUGCUACAAUGGUCGGUACAGUGGGUUGCCAGUCCGUGAGGGCGAGCUAAUCCCGCAAAGCCGGUCUCAGUUCGGAUCGGGGUCUGCAACUCGACCCCGUGAAGUCGGAGUCGCUAGUAAUCGCAGAUCAGCAACGCUGCGGUGAAUACGUUCCCGGGCCU